GGAUAUACCUCAGUUGGCAGAGUGCUUGCCUCACAUGCACAAGGCCCUGGGUUCCAUCCCCAGUAACACA
Molecule: transfer RNA, 70 nt
Filed under: Marmota monax (woodchuck)
Lineage: Eukaryota; Metazoa; Chordata; Mammalia; Rodentia; Sciuridae
Description: tRNA.Val
Source: RNAcentral